This 497-nucleotide ribosomal RNA is filed under the name uncultured bacterium. RNAcentral describes it as "partial 16S ribosomal RNA". It matches the Rfam family "Bacterial small subunit ribosomal RNA", at positions 28 to 507 of the family's 1533-position model. The record is from RNAcentral.
GACGAACGCUGGCGGCGUGCCUAAUACAUGCAAGUAGAACGCUGAAGGAAGGAGCUUGCUCUUUCUGGAUGAGUUGCGAACGGGUGAGUAACGCGUAGGUAACCUGCCUGGUAGCGGGGGAUAACUAUUGGAAACGAUAGCUAAUACCGCAUAAAAUUGAUUAUUGCAUGAUAGUCAAUUAAAAGGUGCAACUGCACCACUACCAGAUGGACCUGCGUUGUAUUAGCUAGUUGGUGGGGUAACGGCUCACCAAGGCGACGAUACAUAGCCGACCUGAGAGGGUGAUCGGCCACACUGGGACUGAGACACGGCCCAGACUCCUACGGGAGGCAGCAGUAGGGAAUCUUCGGCAAUGGACGGAAGUCUGACCGAGCAACGCCGCGGGAGUGAAGAAGGUUGUCGGAUCGUAAAGCUCUGUUGUAAGAGAAGAACGAGUGUGAGAGUGGAAAGUUCACACUGUGACGGUAUCUUACCAGAAAGGGACGGCUAACUACGUG